This 255-nucleotide ribosomal RNA is filed under the name uncultured bacterium. RNAcentral describes it as "partial 16S ribosomal RNA". It matches the Rfam family "Bacterial small subunit ribosomal RNA", at positions 524 to 776 of the family's 1533-position model. The record is from RNAcentral.
UACGUAGGGCGCAAGCGUUGUCCGGAAUUAUUGGGCGUAAAGAGCUCGUAGGCGGUUUGUCGCGUCUGCUGUGAAAACGCGAGGCUCAACCUCGCGCCUGCAGUGGGUACGGGCAGACUAGAGUGCGGUAGGGGAGAUUGGAAUUCCUGGUGUAGCGGUGGAAUGCGCAGAUAUCAGGAGGAACACCGAUGGCGAAGGCAGAUCUCUGGGCCGUAACUGACGCCUGGAGGAGCGAAAGCGUGGGGAGCGAACAGG